RNAcentral lists this ribosomal RNA (549 nucleotides) under uncultured bacterium. RNAcentral's name for it is "bacterial SSU rRNA". It matches the Rfam family "Bacterial small subunit ribosomal RNA", at positions 49 to 577 of the family's 1533-position model. The record is from RNAcentral.
UAACACAUGCAAGUCAAGGAGAAUUCCCGACUUGUCGGGAUAGUAAACUGGCGAACGGGUGAGUAACGCGUAGGUAAUCUGCCCUUGGGAUUGGGAUAACCCGCCGAAAGACGGACUAAUACCGGAUAAGGUCCUGGUAUUUUAUAUCAGGAUGAAAGAUAGGGAUCUUCGGACCUAUUACCUGAGGAUGAGCCUGCGUCUGAUUAGUUAGUUGGUAAGGUAAUGGCUUACCAAGGCGACGAUCAGUAGCUGGUCUGAGAGGAUGAUCAGCCACAUUGGGACUGAGAUACGGCCCAAACUCCUACGGGAGGCAGCAGUGAGGAAUUUUGCGCAAUGGCCGAAAGGCUGACGCAGCAACGCCGCGUGACCGAUUGAAGCUCUGAGGAGUGUAAAGGUCUGUCGUAGGGGAAGAAUAUGUCCGAUAAUAAUAUUUUCGAACACUGACGGUACCCUAUGAGAAAGCUCCGGCUAACUCCGUGCCAGCAGCCGCGGUAAUACGGGGGGAGCUAGCGUUGUCCGGAAUUAUUGGGCGUAAAGAGCGUGCAGGCG